This is a long non-coding RNA of Pristis pectinata (smalltooth sawfish), 652 nucleotides long. RefSeq lists it as uncharacterized. The record is from RefSeq and is a predicted model, not a curated record. The transcript has 3 exons. NCBI's taxonomy places the organism in Eukaryota, Metazoa, Chordata, Chondrichthyes, Rhinopristiformes, Pristidae.
GAUAAAUCCAUUUUAUCUUAAGAGGAACCAAGUCAGUCAACUUAAUUGAUGUCUGAGGCACCUUCAGCAAACGUCUCCAAUGUGAAAUAUUCUUUGGAUGCUGGAGCACUAAUGCAGUGCAAAUGAAAGAUAAUACCUCCAGCUGAGCUCACUUUCACAAGAAUUGGAUCUUCCACUGAUCCGAGCUUGUCUGUUACAGCAUUGAUGACAUCCCUUACAGAAGCUGCUACGAGGACACGGAUUGUGAUAAAAAACUGAGUCAACUCUGGAUGGAAAUCUGCCAAAUCAUCCUAUUCUGCACAUGGCACAGGCAUCAAUCCAGAGAUUACUACCCUUGAGGUCCCUUAACACUCAAGAAGUGAAGGUAAAUCUGGAACAAAAUAUCCAGCAGGUGGAUGCACAGCAGCACUGGACAACACUGAGAAAUAUGUCAUUCUGGAUGCAGAUACUCCUAGGGUGCGGAUGGGGAAGCUCCAAUGUCGUUUUAUAAGAGUUCAAUAGAAAAGAGUACAGUCUUAGAGAUCUGGCAAACAGCAAAUGGGCAGCACGGUAGCGUAGUGGUUAGUGCGAUACUAUCACAGCACCAGCGACCCGGGUUCAAUUCCGGCCACUGUCUGUCAGGAGUUUGUACACUCUCCCCGUGUCUGCAUGG